ACUGGUUGCAGCUGGGGCUCCAGCAGGAAAAGGAAGUUGUUCAUCAUCGUGUGUGCAUUUCAUUAACAAUAGUGUACCCGAUAUGUAGCUUAUAGAAUAAUUUCAAAUCACUGACAGAGAGCAUUAUGGCAUUUGGCACUACUAGGAAAAAUACUUCAGGAUGGGCAAAUUAAACCUGAGCGUGAGGUUUCCAUGCGACCCUCUGGAACUGUGCAUGCUGAUUUACACUAGCUGCUUGGAAGAUUUGAAGCAUGAGAAGCAAACAGCAGAGAGAGUUGAUGUCCAGCACAGUACAGCACCCUGCAAGCCCAGAGGGUGAGUACCCACACUUCCUGACCGUCGUCUUGCCUCCCAGGGGGACUUGGACAAGAAUCUCCUAGCACCUCCAACUCAGUGGGGGACACUGCAGAGCAUAUGGAAGAGAGUGGCACCUGGACCCCUGUCCCAGUCUCCUCCAUUCACAACCAUUCAUAACUGGAAGGGAGCAGCAGGCCUCGUUCCUGGAAUCUAGGGCCACCCCUGCACGGGGACCCUCCCUGGAGUGAGUGGUGCUGCAGAAGUACUCUCCUAGCAGGGACGGUUUGAACCUUUCAUCACCGAAACCACAGUUCCUGAAUGGAGUAAAUUAAUUCUGUGGGUCUCAACUCACAGGUUGGAGCACCCUUGCCUCACAUAAAUGAAUCACAUUAGUUUUCCACACUUUGAUGGCUGACCACAUGCCCCUGUCCAGGCAGGCAGGAAAUGCCAUUGAUGUGGGAACCUAAAUGGGCUCUGAAUGGGUAGGGCCUUUGCAGGCCCCCACAGCUGGGUCACAGCUACAGCAGCCAGGUGCUGUUGGGAAGUGUUUGUUAGGUAAAUGAGGGAGCAGGUGAAGGAAGGUGUGAACAGUGACACAAAAAGCUUUCUUGGUGUCCUUAACAUGCUGGAUUUUUAGGCUCAUUCAUUUGUCAGAGAAGUCUCACCUCUGCUAUGAGGGUAGGUCAAAAUUGCAUCUGCUCCUGCAAGAAACAAACACAUGGAGGCGAAGGCUCAAAAAGGAAGAGGGCUCUUGGCUCCCAGCCCUGAUUUGCCUCUGGUAGCUGUCUGACGUGGGCAGGUGAGGGGGAGUCUUAGGUUUCUGUAGGUUGAGCUUGGUGACACCCACUCUGCCCAUCCCACUGGAGGUUGUAAGGUACACAAGACUGCUCCUGCAGAAAUGCUGCUGAGGAAACUGUCUUAGUUCUUCCUCUCUGUCCAUGGCUGACACAGGAAAACUGCUCAGUUCAUUCUUCUUGAAUGCAUAGGGACAUGAAUUAGCCCUAGUAGCAUGAUCAACCCUA
This 1319-nucleotide long non-coding RNA is filed under the name Oryctolagus cuniculus (rabbit). RNAcentral describes it as "lncRNA (ENSOCUG00000037465.1)". The record is from RNAcentral. Lineage: Eukaryota; Metazoa; Chordata; Mammalia; Lagomorpha; Leporidae.